RNAcentral lists this ribosomal RNA (158 nucleotides) under Trichoderma harzianum. Its description in RNAcentral is "5.8S ribosomal RNA". It matches the Rfam family "5.8S ribosomal RNA". Rfam says of the family: 5.8S ribosomal RNA (5.8S rRNA) is a component of the large subunit of the eukaryotic ribosome. The record is from RNAcentral. RNAcentral also lists the same sequence under 15 other names. Lineage: Eukaryota; Fungi; Ascomycota; Sordariomycetes; Hypocreales; Hypocreaceae.
AAAACUUUCAACAACGGAUCUCUUGGUUCUGGCAUCGAUGAAGAACGCAGCGAAAUGCGAUAAGUAAUGUGAAUUGCAGAAUUCAGUGAAUCAUCGAAUCUUUGAACGCACAUUGCGCCCGCCAGUAUUCUGGCGGGCAUGCCUGUCCGAGCGUCAUU